GAAAGAUGAUCAGGUUGAUAGGUCUGAGGUGGAAGUGUGGCGACACAUGGAGCUGACAGAUACUAAUCGAUCGAGGACUUAACCUAAUGUCUA
RNAcentral lists this ribosomal RNA (93 nucleotides) under Bacillus halotolerans. RNAcentral's name for it is "partial 23S ribosomal RNA". It matches the Rfam family "Bacterial large subunit ribosomal RNA", at positions 2839 to 2925 of the family's 2925-position model. The record is from RNAcentral. Lineage: Bacteria; Bacillati; Bacillota; Bacilli; Caryophanales; Bacillaceae.